Molecule: ribosomal RNA, 900 nt
Filed under: oral metagenome
Description: bacterial SSU rRNA
Rfam family: Bacterial small subunit ribosomal RNA
Source: RNAcentral
AGAGUUUGAUCCUGGCUCAGGACGAACGCUGGCGGCGUGCUUAACACAUGCAAGUCGAACGGUAAGGCCCCUUCGGGGGUACACGAGUGGUAACCUGCCCUUGACAUCGGAAUAACAUUUCGAAAGAAGUGCUAAUGCCGAAUAUGAAACUGCAUGGCAUCGUGCGGUUUGGAAAGCUCCGGCGGUCAAGGAUGGACUCGCGUCCUAUCAGCUUGUUGGUGAGGUAACGGCUCACCAAGGCUUCGACGGGUAGCCGGCCUGAGAGGGCGACCGGCCACACUGGGACUGAGAUACGGCCCAGACUCCUACGGGAGGCAGCAGUGGGGAAUAUUGCGCAAUGGGCGAAAGCCUGACGCAGCAACGCCGCGUGUGGGAAUGACGGCCUUCGGGUUGUAAACCACUUUCAUCUAGGACGAAGCGAAAGUGACGGUACUAGAAAAAGAAGCACCGGCCAACUACGUGCCAGCAGCCGCGGUAAUACGUAGGGUGCGAGCGUUGUCCGGAAUUAUUGGGCGUAAAGAGCUUGUAGGCGGUUUGUCGCGUCGGAAGUGAAAACUCAGGGCUUAACCCUGAGCCUGCUUCCGAUACGGGCUGACUAGAGGGAAGUAGGGGAGAUCGGAAUUUCUGGUGGAGCGGUGGAAUGCGCAGAUAUCAGAAGGAACACCAGUGGCGAAGGCGGAUCUCUGGACUUUACCUGACGCUGAGAAGCGAAAGCGUGGGGAGCAAACAGGCUUAGAUACCCUGGUAGUCCACGCCGUAAACGGUGGGUACUAGGUGUGGGGGACAUUCCACGUUCUCCGUGCCGCAGCUAACGCAUUAAGUACCCCGCCUGGGGAGUACGGCCGCAAGGCUAAAACUCAAAGGAAUUGACGGGGCCCCGCACAAGCGGCGGAGCAUGCG